UACGAAGGGGGCUAGCGUUGCUCGGAAUCACUGGGCGUAAAGGGCGCGUAGGCGGACUCUUAAGUCGGGGGUGAAAGCCCAGGGCUCAACCCUGGAAUUGCCUUCGAUACUGAGAGUCUUGAGUUCGGAAGAGGUUGGUGGAACUGCGAGUGUAGAGGUGAAAUUCGUAGAUAUUCGCAAGAACACCAGUGGCGAAGGCGGCCAACUGGUCCGAUACUGACGCUGAGGCGCGAAAGCGUGGGGAGCAAACGGG
RNAcentral lists this ribosomal RNA (253 nucleotides) under uncultured bacterium. Its description in RNAcentral is "partial 16S ribosomal RNA". It matches the Rfam family "Bacterial small subunit ribosomal RNA", at positions 524 to 776 of the family's 1533-position model. The record is from RNAcentral.